Molecule: ribosomal RNA, 270 nt
Filed under: uncultured bacterium
Lineage: Bacteria
Description: partial 16S ribosomal RNA
Rfam family: Bacterial small subunit ribosomal RNA
Source: RNAcentral
AACGAACGCUGGCGGCACGUUUUAAGCAUGCAAGUCGAAUGGUAAACAGGGGCAACUCUGUGAGAAUGGCGAACGGGUGAGUAACACGUAGGUGAUCUGCCCUUAGGCUGGGGAUAGCCUGUGGAAACACAGGGUAAUACCGAAUACGCUGGACUGGCUUUGGCUGGUCUAGGAAAGGUGCUACGGCACCGCCUGAGGAGGAGCCUGCGGCUGAUUAGCUAGUUGGUGGGGUAAGAGCCUACCAAGGCGACGAUCAGUAGCCGGCCUGAG